Molecule: long non-coding RNA, 1921 nt
Organism: Brassica oleracea var. oleracea
Lineage: Eukaryota; Viridiplantae; Streptophyta; Magnoliopsida; Brassicales; Brassicaceae
Exons: 7
Source: RefSeq, a predicted model, not a curated record
AUCAUUUUCUCUGGCAGCCCAACAGGGCCAUCUCUACUGCAAGAUUUCUAUCGUCUCCGCGACCUCGAUUUCUCAGCAAGGCAUCUCGCGACUCCUCAUGUCAUCUCUGUGGCGGCUCCGCGAUUGCCUCCCUCCGCUGCCGUGACCAAGCUUCCUUCGCGACCAUAAGCCACGAUAUCUCCUAGCUCCCAAAGAUCGUCGAUCUCACUUCCAAUUGCAGAGGAUCUCAAGCCGCGGUAGCCAAUCUCACUACUAUUUUCGUCUGAAGGGUUGAUGGUUGAUCGUCUCCGACUCUUCACUUCGUCGUCACCGUUUCUGCUCUCUGCACCACUCACUCAUUCCAGCCAGAAACAUCCGGAUGCUCAGCUAUGUUCACAAGAAGUUGCUUAGCAGAGGAUGAUACUCUGUUCACGCAGCUAUUCGUAAAAACUUUUACGGAGAUAGUGAAAUUGAGGAGACAAUCAGAGAGAUGGAAGCAACAGAGGAGAGAUUAGUUGUGUACGAUGUUGAUGUGUUGGAUUAUCAAAGCAUACUUGUCUCUCUCAAGACAUCUAACGCCGUCUUCUGCCUGUUGGAAAGCCCUGAAGGAUACGAUGAGAAGGAAGUGGAUUUGGAGGUGAGAGGAGCUAUCAAUGUGGUGGAAGCAUGUGAAAGAACAGAGAGCAUAGAUAAGAUUGUGUUCUCUUCUUCUUCUUUAACAGCUUCAAUUUUGAGAGACAACAUUGGAACUCAGAAGGAUGUUGAUGAGAAGUGUUGGAGUGAUCAAGACUUCUGUCGCAACAAAAAGGUUUCUAAUCUUUCUUCACUUAAUGUAGGUAGCUCAAAUUAUUUCAUUUCAUCGUUUUCCCACUUACAAGUGACUGGGUUCUAUGUUCUCCUUGAGCGGCUUUGAUUUCACUAGGUGAUACGGUUCAGUGAUGAACACCCGGUUUGAUGAGUUAAACGGACCGAUUACACCCAUUCCUGAAGAACAAUUCAGGUUUGGUCAAAGUAUGAACUCCAAGAGUUUCUGAAACCAAGCUUGAGGAGAACAACAGGGUAAGCUUGCUCGACAAAGAAACUAUCUUUUCUUAAUCAAGUCUUUCUACAAAAUUCAUUGAUAGUUUUGCCCAAGUUCGUUGUCAAAGAAGAUAAAGGAAUGGUAGAGUUUAUUGGAUUGCUUGAGGUGGCUGUUAAGAAAGGUACUAACUUAGCUAUCAGAGACAUGAUGUCAAGUGAUGCUUAUGUUGCCUUGAAUCUAGGGAAGCAAGUAAGUGUAUCUCUUUGUGACUGUUUACUAACCUGCAUCUAUAGACUCUUUGUGGAUCUUAAAAGCUAUUGUUCAUAAACUUCAAAAAACUGUUGUGAAUUGUAAUUUGAACCCGGUAUGGAAUCAAGAACUCAUGCUGUCUGUUCCUGACAGCUAUGGUCCUGUAAAACUGCAAGUGUAUGAUUAUGAUACAUUCUCUGCUGGUGAUAUAAUGGGAGAAGCUCAACUUGAUAUCCAGCCUCUGAUAACAUCUGCGAUGGUGUUUGGGGAUCCAGAGAUGUUUGGGGAUAUGCAGAUUGGGAAAUGGCUAAAGUUGCAUGAUAAUCCGCCAAUAGAUGACAGCAUCAUUUGACAGCAUCAUUUCGAUCCAAAAAAAAAGAUGACAGCAUCAUUAACAUUGUUGAUGGGAAAGUGAAGCAAGAGGUUCAGAUCAAGCUUCAGAAUGAAGAGUCUGGAGAAUUAGAGCUGUAAAUGGAAUGGCUGCCACUUAACCAAUAAUACUAAUGCCAGUAGAUUUCACUUUAUAUAUAAAACUUACACAUUUUGCAAUACAUACAUUCUCUUUUUCUUUUGUUGGAACAUUUUUUGAUCUCUCAUUUCUUACACAAGAAAGUGUUAAUUUGUAAUAUUUUGUUUCCUGAUGGUUAUAUCUUACAAAGUUACACAUUUGUA